CGCACCGCCACUUCCGCGGGGCGGGGCGGGCCUUCCGGGCCCGGGGCCAACCGGCUCCGCCUUGGGCUACACAGGCGCGGCUGCUGGCGCAGGCGCAGAGGCGGACGCGGGCGGCCCGAGAUCUGCGGCGUUAGCCCCGCCCCCCGAGAGCAGCAGCGUUGGCCCCCCCCCCGUGCCCGCCCCCCCCAGCUCUGCAGCAUCAGCCCCGUCCCCGCCUCGCGCAGGCUCUUUUAGGUGGGACGGGCCGGGGGCCCCCGCUGUGUUCUCUGUCUAGGACUCUUUCCCUCUCUCCCCCCCACUCCCCACUCACACAUAAGCUCUUGGAACCAAAGCCCGUCGAGUCUGUCUUUGGAGCUCCGUGGCUGGCUACAGUGCCUGGCACAGAGCAGUGUUUGCUGAAUGAAUGACCCCGAGGGAAGUCCUGGGAUUUAGAGCAGCAGGAAGUCCCAGGGAGCCGGCGAGGAUGGCUGGUGCCUCGUCUGCUUCAUCGCACUGGAUUCUCCCGAUUCUGGGAUGGAGCUUCGUUGUUCUUGUUGACGACCGAGCCUGUGGUUUCGUCCCUGUGGGCAGCACCCGGGGAGGAACACCCCUGACCCUUGAAGACCCGCACCUGCUCUGCAGUUUCAUCUCAGAGAACUGCAGAUUAAAGGAACAAAAGGUUUUGAGCUGAACGUGAACCCCAGAGAGCAGCUGGGUCUAGAGAAGAUCCUAGAGAGAUGACUGGCUGUCAUUUAACACAGCCCUGUCGGUCUAUGGAUCAGGAAACAGAGACUCAGAGACAGGAAAUGAACUCUCCAGGGUUGUUCAGGCCUGUUCAACUCUUCAUGACCCCCAUUUGGGGUUCAGAUACUGGAGUGGUUUGCCAUUUCCUUCUCCAGUUCAUUUUACAGAGAAGGAAACUGAGUCAAACAGAGCUCCAGCUCCAGUCCCUUGAAAUCCCUAAGAGACACCAAGUGCUCCCAGAUACUCACAUGAUGACAAACCACCUUCAGACACAACCAUUCUCUGCUUCCUGGUUGCAAAAAAGGCAGCAGAGUGCCCAGAUGAGGGCAUGGACAUGGAGAGGUUUAUGGAGGUGAGUUCUUCACUCAUUUCAGAGGGCAUUCUCCAUUGGGAUCAAAGGCAAGAUUACAUUUAGAGCUUUCUAUACAGGGCCCCAUUUUCUCUAUAGAAUGUCUCACUUGAUGAUCUCAUCAGCCCCAUGGAUUCAAUGACUGGCUCUAUGCAAAUGUUUCCCAGCUCUCCAUCCACAUCCAGGCAUGAUCUCCCUCCUAAACAUCAGUUCCAUAUUACCAGCGGCCCUCUGGACAUCAUGAUCUGGUCCCAGGGACAUCUCAAACCCAACAUGGCCAGAGCAGAGCUCCUUCACUUUCCCACAAAACUCUUCCCUCUCUCUGUCUUUCCCAUUACUGUCAAGGGCCCCAGUGUUCCUCCAGUCCCCAGAGCUCCUCACUCCAGCUCACCCCACCAAUCCCAUUCAUUGGCCAAUCAUGUUUCUACCUUCACAACAUCUCUCAUAUACCCCCUCUCUCCUUCGACAUUGCCGUCCCUCUAGGGCAGGCCAUCAUCGCCUCAAACCUGAACCACUGCAGCAGCCACUUUAAGCCAUCUGCUACCCAACUGCCAAAAUGAUUUACCUAAACCACAGAUCUGACCAUGUCCCCUCCCUUACUCAGAAAACUCCAGUGACUCCCUAUUACCUCCAGUAUCCACCAAAUAUAAAGUCAUCUAGAAUUUGAAUCAAUCAAUCAAUAAACAUUUAUUGAGUACCUACUAUGUGCA
RNAcentral lists this long non-coding RNA (1782 nucleotides) under Phascolarctos cinereus (koala). Its description in RNAcentral is "lncRNA (ENSPCIG00000033402.1)". The record is from RNAcentral. Lineage: Eukaryota; Metazoa; Chordata; Mammalia; Diprotodontia; Phascolarctidae.